GCGAACGCUGGCGGCAGGCCUAACACAUGCAAGUCGAACGAACCUUUCGGGGUUAGUGGCGGACGGGUGAGUAACACGUGGGAACGUGCCUUUAGGUUCGGAAUAACUCAGGGAAACUUGUGCUAAUACCGAAUGUGCCCUUCGGGGGAAAGAUUUAUCGCCUUUAGAGCGGACCGCGUCUGAUUAGCUAGUUGGUUGAGGUAAUGGCUCACCAAGGCGACGAUCAGUAGCUGGUCUGAGAGGAUGAUCAGCCACAUUGGGACUGAGACACGGCCCAAACUCCUACGGGAAGCAGCAGUGGGGAAUCUUGCGCAAUGGGCGAAAGCCUGACGCAGCCAUGCCGCGUGAAUGAUGAAGGUCUUAGGAUUGUAAAAUUCUUUCACCGGGGACGAUAAUGACGGUACCCGGAGAAGAAGCCCCGGCUAACUUCGUG
RNAcentral lists this ribosomal RNA (433 nucleotides) under uncultured bacterium. Its description in RNAcentral is "partial 16S ribosomal RNA". It matches the Rfam family "Bacterial small subunit ribosomal RNA", at positions 29 to 507 of the family's 1533-position model. The record is from RNAcentral.